CCAGUUGGCCGGGCAGCCGCGCUUUACCAAUGCCGAAAGGCGGUAGGGUGAGGAAAGUCCGGGCUCCACGGAAAUACGGUGCCGGAUAACGUCCGGCGGGGGUGACCCCAGGGAAAGUGCCACAGAAAGGAAACCGCCCCGCCUGCUGUCCUGCUCGUUCAUCUGGAGCAGGAGAGGUGGCGGGGUAAGGGUGAAAGGGUGGGGUAAGAGCCCACCGCGGGCCUGGCAACAGGGACGGCAAGGUAAACCCCACCGGGAGCAAGACCGAAUAGGGAUGACGCGGGUGCCGCUUGCGGCGCUACAGCCUGUCUCCGGGCCAGUCAUCCGGGUGGGUUGCGUGAGGCAGCGUGCAAACGCUGUCCCAGAUGAAUGGCUGCCACGUUCCGGUGCUUUGGCGCCGGUGCCAUACAGAACCCGGCUUACAGGCCAACUGGCAAU
Molecule: RNase P RNA, 438 nt
Filed under: Rhizobium sp. SL86
Lineage: Bacteria; Pseudomonadati; Pseudomonadota; Alphaproteobacteria; Hyphomicrobiales; Rhizobiaceae
Description: RNase P RNA component class A
Rfam family: Bacterial RNase P class A
About the family: Ribonuclease P (RNase P) is a ubiquitous endoribonuclease, found in archaea, bacteria and eukarya as well as chloroplasts and mitochondria.
Source: RNAcentral